This is a long non-coding RNA of Etheostoma spectabile (orangethroat darter), 2509 nucleotides long. RefSeq lists it as uncharacterized. The record is from RefSeq and is a predicted model, not a curated record. Lineage: Eukaryota; Metazoa; Chordata; Actinopteri; Perciformes; Percidae. The transcript is spliced from 2 exons.
CUCUCCUCAGGAUACCCAGCCCCUCAAAGGCCCAGCAGGGGGAGACACUGAGCCCUGACCUUUGUCCUCUACUGCAGGUUUCAUGUAACCGAUUAAGGCUUAAUAAUUUACCAAGUGAGCAGCGGCCCUUCAAAACUGAAGAAGUGACACCAACUGAUGUUGAUGGGUUUUCAGUUUAGGACAGUUGACCCGAGAAUGUGUUUCCAGAGGUAUCACAUUUAGAUUUGAAAUGCGUUAGUGGUUCUUUUUUUCUUAGACGUGAUGAUCAGAACCUUCUGAAUGUGAAUUAUAACUCAUUUUAGGGCUGUGAGGCAAAAAAAGGGUUUGAGCGUUGGUCAAUGAAAGAAGUAGUCUCUUGAUGGCACGCAUUUGGGGAAAAAAAACAAAAAACUACCUGCAAAAUUGUCUUGGACAAGCAUAAAUCACUCCAAGUGCAUUUUUCAUUUGAGGAUUAUCAAGAGGCCCUUGUUUUAGGUGACUUAUAGUGGAGUAAUCGGGUUAGCAGAUUUGCAGACAAUGGCCAAAUUAGUGAGCUUGCUGCUUGAGUGCACAAUCCUAAUACCCUGGUAGGAAUUCAGCCUGGAUAGAAAGGGCAUUUGCACUAAAUGAAUUACUCUAUUCACUUUGUAGCGCACACUGACCCUGAUUGAAGUCAUUGGAUGACACAGUUGGGGAUUUCGGAAGAGAAAUUUAGAACAGGUUAAAGGCUUCGAGCUAAAUGUUGGAUUGAAGGCCCAGUGAGGUUGUCCUGAAAAACUGAAGUCGUUUGGCCCAUUUGGUCGUCUUACCCACUGUGAUGUACGGCAUCACAAUCAUCUUGGAGUUGUUAAAGGGACACUUCACCCCAAAAUCAAAAAUACAUCUUUUUCCUCUUACCUGUAGUGCUAUUUAUCAAACUAGAUUGUGUUGGUGUGAGUUCAGUGUUAUGCAGAGAUUUCUGCCUUCUUUCCAACAUGAUGGAACUAGAUGGCACUCAGCUUGUGGUGCUUAAAGCCCCAAAAAUACAUUUGCAUAAGUCAAAUGAUGACUCGCUUACCCAACAUAAUCUACAGACUUGGUUGUGAGCAGUUUCUUGGAAGAACUAUUUUCUUGCUUCUAAACUACACCCGCCAACCGUAUCCUGCACAGAAGGAAGUGUGCUCUUUGACAAGAGGCCCUUCCUCCUCCGCUGAGCUGUAACUGUAACUAACUGAUACUGCUAGCUCAUCUGAGCUAGCGUUACAGCUCAGCCGAAAAGGACGUCAUUAAAGUCUCGCCGGUCUUGAGAACGAGCCUCUCGUCCAUGAGGACGCUUCCUCAAGCGCAGUCAUACGGUUUGCAGGUGUAGGGAAAAAAAUGAUUUUGCAUUUGGGGGUAAAGUGUUCUUUUUCAUUUUAUCGGUAAAUAACACAAACUAUCACUGAACAACAACUAGAUUUAAGUAAUUGAUUUUAACGAAACAAUUUCAACUCAAGGUUCCCUUACUGGCUUUUUUAGGAACUUUCAAUUGCAUCACAUGGUCUGACAUCUGCUGUGUCUAGCUAAAUCUCAAGUUAUGAAUUAUUUCUCAUGAUUUUUAAAUCCACAAAUGCUUCCGUUGUGUAUGUGACAACAAUGCAAGUGAGCAAGUUACACCUACGACAGAUCUCGCUCUCUGAUUUCUGUUUACCAAAAAGUUAGCGAGAGAUUUUGCAUUGUUGACUGCACUUACGAUCAAGUCGGACAUUUGUGUUGUGGCUCUACAGACCAUAGAAAGAAAACAACAAGACAUAGAAAUGCUUAAAGUAACAUUUCCAGACUUAAUGUACAUUUCUUAACGUUACUAGUUCCAAAGAUGACUUGGUUGACAAUUGUCUCAUUACAUUACACACGUGGUAAGGUGAAAAUAAGCCAAACGACAAGUUGUUGUGGGCAUUCAACAGUUACUGAACAUGGUCCCUGCUUAAAGACAACACAACACAUUUGAUCGGUUUUUGCGGCAACCUCCGGUAUCCCAGGUGACCGUCUGAAUCUCCUGUUCAUGCCGGCCGUUGAAAGAUUUCAGUCUUUAUGUUCGGCCUUAUAUGGUGUGUUAUAGCAGUUUUACGUUUUUAUUUAUUGAGUGAAUCUAACAUUGCAUUUCAUACCUUUUUUUAUUUUAUUUUCUAAUAAUUCCAAAAUGGUUAGCUUCAUAUGCUUUGCAUUGAAGUUUGAGAUUCACUAUUUCUGUGUGUGAAUAUACUAACUUAAUUUUAAUAAACACUGUACAGAUACCUGAAUAUUUUUUUUUUCUUCCUUUGUAUGCUAAAUUUACUUUUUGUAAAUGCUUUAAGCGCUGUGUACAGGGACCUAGCGUUUAGCUUGCAGAUGUGACUUUGUAAAUGUACUUACCACUGCUUAAGGAGCUGCUGAGAUGGAGGAUGUAAAUACUGUAAGAAAUACUGUGAAAAGCUUACUGUACAGUGAUCCUUUACACCUCUGUAGGAGUGGCAAGAAGAAUUAUUUAACAGUUGUCAGUAAACAUUUCCAUUAAAAUGUAUAAAAUAAUAAA